Globicephala melas (long-finned pilot whale) is the source of this 597-nucleotide non-coding RNA. NCBI's taxonomy places the organism in Eukaryota, Metazoa, Chordata, Mammalia, Artiodactyla, Delphinidae. The record is from the annotation of a RefSeq genome assembly.
AUGGCUUGGGCUCUGCUCCUUGUCACCCUCCUCACUCAGGACACAGGAUCCUGGGCCCAGUCUGGCCCGACUCAGCCUCCCUCAGUGUCCGGGAAUCCGGGACAGACGGUCACCAUCUCUUGUACUGGAACCAGCAGUUAUGUCGGCUGGUACCAACAGCUCCCAGGCAUGGCCCCCAAAACCCUGAUUUAUGGUAACAAUUAUCGGCCUUCAGGGAUCCCUGGUCGCUUCACUGGCUCCAAGUCUGGCAACACGGCCUCCCUGACCAUCUCUGGGCUCCAGGCUGAGGACGAGGCCGUUUAUUACUGUAGUUCAAAUGCAGGUAGUUAUGCUGUGCACAGUGGACACAGCAAUGACAUCGGGAAAUAUAAUGCUGUUGGCUGGUACCAACUGCGCCCAGGCACAGCCUCCAAAACCCUGAUUUAUGAGGUGAAUAAACGGCCCUCAGGGAUCCCUGACCGCUUCUCUGGAUCCAAGUCUGGGAACACGGCCUCCCUGACCAUCCCUGAGCUCCAGAAAUUUCCCAGUUUUACCACUGAAACUGCCGUGUCCUGCCUGGACCUCAUUGUGGGGCAAAUCAGCGUGGAUGGUCACUGA